UGUGACAUCCCAGGUUUGGGGCACAACACCUUAGGCGAAUCCCACAUCGGCUACGCACAAGGUGGAAGUCCUAUACAUAAAGGGUGGCAACCUUGAACUAGUGUGACGCGUUUUGGGCUGGCAGAGCGGAGGUUUCCCUGGCCCAGAAACAAAACUGUGAGGGUUCAGGCCAGGUUUGGCACCCAAAGCGGACAAUAUCACACUAGGGCUGGGCUGUUACAAUUUGGUAUCAGAGCCAAGCCUUGUCCCUCUGGCCUGUGGUGGGGCAAACCUCAGCGAGGACGCUGAGUCCCUAAGGGGUGGUGUAUGUGACAUCCCAGGUUUGGGGCACAACACCUUAGGCGAAUCCCACAUCGGCUACGCACAAGGUGGAAGUCCUAUACAUAAAGGGUGGCAACCUUGAACAUGGUAGACGCGUUUUGGGCUGGGUGGUGUAUGUGACAUCCCAGGUUUGGGGCACAACACCUUAGGCGAAUCCCACAUCGGCUACGCACAAGGUGGAAGUCCUAUACAUAAAGGGUGGCAACCUUGAACUAGUGUGACGCG
RNAcentral lists this long non-coding RNA (546 nucleotides) under Jatropha curcas. RNAcentral describes it as "long non-coding RNA (JCUR_LNC001449)". The record is from RNAcentral. Lineage: Eukaryota; Viridiplantae; Streptophyta; Magnoliopsida; Malpighiales; Euphorbiaceae.